AUGCACGCUGGCGGCGUGCCUCAUACCUGCAAGUCGAGCGGACAGAUGAGGAGCUUGCUCCUCUGACGUUAGCGGCGGACGGGUGAGUAACACGUGGAUAACCUACCUAUAAGACUGGGAUAACUUCGGGAAACCGGAGCUAAUACCGGAUAAUAUAUUGAACCGCAUGGUUCAAUAGUGAAAGACGGUUUUGCUGUCACUUAUAGAUGGAUCCGCGCCGCAUUAGCUAGUUGGUAAGGUAACGGCUUACCAAGGCAACGAUGCGUAGCCGACCUGAGAGGGUGAUCGGCCACACUGGAACUGAGACACGGUCCAGACUCCUACGGGAGGCAGCAGUAGGGAAUCUUCCGCAAUGGGCGAAAGCCUGACGGAGCAACACCGCGUGAGUGAUGAAGGUCUUCGGAUCGUAAAACUCUGUUAUUAGGGAAGAACAAAUGUGUAAGUAACUAUGCACGUCUUGACGGUACCUAAUCAGAAAGCCACGGCUAACUACGUG
This 496-nucleotide ribosomal RNA is filed under the name uncultured bacterium. RNAcentral's name for it is "partial 16S ribosomal RNA". It matches the Rfam family "Bacterial small subunit ribosomal RNA", at positions 29 to 507 of the family's 1533-position model. The record is from RNAcentral.